RNAcentral lists this ribosomal RNA (569 nucleotides) under uncultured Glomeromycotina. RNAcentral's name for it is "SSU rRNA". It matches the Rfam family "Eukaryotic small subunit ribosomal RNA", at positions 548 to 1114 of the family's 1831-position model. The record is from RNAcentral. Lineage: Eukaryota; Fungi; Glomeromycota.
UUGGAGGGCAAGUCUGGUGCCAGCAGCCGCGGUAAUUCAGCUCCAAUAGCGUAUAUUAAAGUUGUUGCAGUUAAAAAGCUCGUAGUUGAAUUUCGGGAUUGGCACAUCGGUCGUGCCUUAAGGGGCAUGAACUGGUGUAGCCAAUUUCUCACCUUCUGGAGAACCGCGAUGUCCUUAAUUGGGUGCCGCGAGGAACCAGGACCUUUACUUUGGAAAAAUUAGAGUGUUUAAAGCAGGCAUUUUGCUUGAAUACAUUAGCAUGGAAUAAUAAAAUAGGACGGAUGAUUCUAUUUUGUUGGUUUCUAGGACCACCGUAAUGAUUAAUAGGGAUAGUUGGGGGCAUUAGUAUUCAAUUGUCAGAGGUGAAAUUCUUGGAUUCAUUGAAGACUAACUACUGCGAAAGCAUUUGCCAAGGAUGUUUUCAUUAAUCAAGAACGAAAGUUAGGGGAUCGAAGACGAUCAGAUACCGUCGUAGUCUUAACCAUAAACUAUGCCGACUAGGAAUCAGACGAUGUUAAUUUUUUAAUGACUCGUUUGGCACCUUACGGGAAACCAAAGUGUUUGGGUUC